ACAAACAAAAGAACUCUGUGCCGUGCCCCUUGAGCAUUGCGUUGCUGCAUUGCACCCCACCGACUCCACUAUGUUGAAGAAAUUCGACAAGAAGGACGAAGAGUCGGGUGGAGGCUCCAACCCAUUCGAGCACCUUGAGAAGAGUGCCGUACUCCAGGAGGCCGGUGUAUUUAAUGAAACUCCCAUCAACCCUUGGAAAUGUGUCCACAUCCUCACCAAGAUUCUUUAUCCUAUAAACCAGGGGGAGCACCUGGGGACCACGGAAGCGACCGAGGCCUUCUUUGCCAUGACCAAGCUCUUUCAGUCCAAUGAUCCCACACUCCAUCGGAUGUGCUACUUGACCAUCAAGGAGAUGUCUUGCAUCACAGAAGAUGUCAUCAUUGUCGCCAGCAGCCUAACAAAAUACAUGACUGGGAAAGAGGACAACGACCGGGGCCCCGCUGUGUGAGGCCUCUGCCAGAUCACUGAUAGCACCAUGCUGCAGGCUACUGAGUGCUACAUGAAACAAGCCAUUGUGGACAAGAUGCCCAGUGGCUCCAGCUCUGCCCUCAUGUCUUCCCUGCACCUGCUGAAGUGCAGCUUUGAUGUGGUCAAGCACUGGGUGAAUGAGGCUCAGGAGGCGGCAUCCGGUGAUAAGAUCAUGGUCCAGUACCACGCCCUAGGGCUCCUGUACCGUGUGCGUAAGAAUGACCACCUGGCCAUCAAUAAGAUGAUCAGCAAGGUCACCUGGCACGGCCUUAAGUCUCCCUUUGCCUACUGCAUGAUGAUCUGGGUGGCCAGCAAGCAACUGGAAGAGGAGGAUGGCAGCCGUGACAGCCCACUGUUUGACUUCAUCGACAGCUGCUUGAGAAACAAGCACAAGAUGGUGGUGUACAAAGCCGCCUUGGUCACUGUCAAUCUGCCAGGCUGCAGUGCCAAAGAGCUGCCCCUUGCUGUGUCAGUGCUCCAGUUUUUCUGCAGCUCACCCAAGACUGCUCUCCACUAUGCUGCUGUUCCCACCCUCAGUAAGGUUGCCAUGAAGCAUCUGUCAGCUGUGACAGCUUGUAAUCUGGAUCUGGAGAACCUGGUCACAGACUGAAACCGCAGCCGUGCCAUGCUGGCCAUCACCACCCUCCUUAAGAGGGGCAGUGACAGCAGCAUCGACCACCUCAUGAAGCAGUUCUCCUCCUUCAUGUCAGAGAUCUUGGAUGAAUUCAAGGUGGUGGUUGUCCAGGCUAUCAGUGCCCUGUGUCAGAAGUAUCCUCGCAAACAUGCCAUCCUCAUGAACUUCCUGUUCACCAUGCUGUGGGAAGAGGGUGGUUUUGAGUACAAGCACACCACCGUGGACUGCAUCAUCAGCAUCAUUGAGGAGAACUCAGAGAGCAAGGAGACAGGGCUGUCACAUCUGUGCGAGUUCAUCGAGGACUGCGAGUUCACAGUGCUGGCCACCCGUAUUCUACAUCUCCUGGGCCAGGAGGGGUCCAAGACCACCAAUCCCUCAAAGUACAUCCACUUCAUCUGUAACCGAGUGGUCUUGGAGCAUGAGGAAGUCUGGGCAGGUGCUGUGAGUGCUCUGGCCAAGAUUGGAGCCCAGAAUGAAGAGAUGUUACCCAGUAUCUUGGUGUUGCUGAAGAGGUGUGUGAUGGAUGAUGGCAAUGAAGUAAGGGAUCGAGCCACCUUCUACCUAAAUGUCCUGGAGCAGAAGCAGAAAGCCCUCAAUGCAGGCUAUAUCCUAAAUGGUCUGACUGUGUCCAUCCUGGUCUGGAGAGGGCUCUGCAGCAGUACACUCUAGAACCAUCAGAAAAACCUUUUGACCUCAAGUCUGUGCCCCUGGCCACGGCACCCACGGCAGAGCAGAGAACAGAAAGUACUCCCAUCACAGAUGUCAAACAGCCUGAGAAAGUGGCAGCUACCAGGCAGGAGAUCUUUCAGGAGCAGUUGGCGGCGGUGCCAGAGUUCCGGGGACUUGGGCCCUUCUUCAAGUCCUCGCCUGAGCCCGUGGCCCUCACAGAGUCAGAGACGGGGGUAUGUCAUGUUUCUGCCUCAUGAAACCGGCAGAAACCG
Molecule: RNA transcript, 2043 nt
Organism: Macaca mulatta (Rhesus monkey)
Lineage: Eukaryota; Metazoa; Chordata; Mammalia; Primates; Cercopithecidae
Gene name: coatomer subunit gamma-1 pseudogene
Source: RefSeq, a predicted model, not a curated record